UGUUGCUUCAGCAAUACAUGUGCUAAAAUUGGAACUAUACAGAGAAGAUUAGCGUGCCCCCUGCACAAGGAUGACACGCAAAUUUGUGAAGCGUUCCCAAAUUUU
Small nuclear RNA from Lampris incognitus (smalleye Pacific opah), 105 nucleotides. The record is from RefSeq and is a predicted model, not a curated record. Lineage: Eukaryota; Metazoa; Chordata; Actinopteri; Lampriformes; Lampridae.